UGAAUACGAGAUGCUACGGCGUCGAAGCAGUCUAUGUCAUACUUCCAAGAAAAGCUCGCACUGUCAUAAACAAAUAAUGCCUGUACCAUAACCGACACAGGUGGGUAGGUAGAGUAUACUAAGGGGCGCGAGAUAACUCUCUCUAAGGAACUCGGCAAAAUGACUCCGUAACUUCGGGAGAAGGAGUGCCUUAUUUAUAAGGUUGCAAUAACAAGAUCCAAGCAACUGUUUAUCAAAAACACAGGUCUCCGCCAAGUCGUAAGACGAUGUAUGGGGGCUGACGCCUGCCCAGUGCCAGAAGGUUAAAGAAGUUGGUUAGCAUUCGCGAAGCUGAUAACUGAAGCCCUGGUGAACGGCGGCCGUAACGAUAACGGUCCUAAGGUAGCGAAAUUCCUUGUCGGGUAAGUUCCGACCCGCACGAAAGGCGUAAUGAUUUGGAUACUGUCUCGGAGAGGGGCUCGGUGAAAUAGACUUGUCUGUGAAGAUGCGGACUACCUGCACCAGGACAGAAAGACCCUAUGAAGCUUUACUGUAACUUGAGAUUGAAAUUGGACUUUACUUGCGCAGUAUAGGUGGGAGGCGUUGAUAAUAUUCUUGCGGGAUUAUUUGAGCCAUCAGUGAGAUACCACUCUUGUAAUGUUAGAUUUCUAACUUUGUAUCAUUAUCUGGUCAAAGGACAGUUUCAGGCGGGCAGUUUGACUGGGGCGGUCGCCUCCUAAACGGUAACGGAGGCGCACAAAGGUUUCCUCUGAACGGGUAGAAAUCGUAUCUAGAGUGUAAAGGCAUAAGGAAGCUUGACUGUGAGACCUACAAGUCGAGCAGGGACGAAAGUCGGUCUUAGUGAUCUGACGGUGCUGAGUGGAAAGGCCGUCACUCAACGGAUAAAAGUUACUCUAGGAUAACAGGCUGAUCUCCCCCAAGAGUUCACAUCGACGGGGAGGUUUGGCACCUCGAUGUCGGCUCAUCGCAUCCUGGGGCGGUAGUACGUCCCAAGGGUUGGGCUGUUCGCCCAUGAAAGCGGUACGCGAGCUGGGUUCAGAACGUCGUGAGACAGUUCGGUCCAUAUCCGGUGUAGGCGUUAGAAUAUUGAGAGGAGCCUUCUUUAGUACGAGAGGACCGAGAAGGACAUACCUCUGGUGUACCAGUUAUCGUGCCAACGGUAAACGCUGGGUAGCUAUGUAUGGAGUGGAUAACCGCUGAAAGCAUCUAAGUGGGAAGCCCACCUCAAGAUAAG
Molecule: ribosomal RNA, 1234 nt
Filed under: metagenome
Description: bacterial LSU rRNA
Rfam family: Bacterial large subunit ribosomal RNA
Source: RNAcentral